UACGAAGGGGGCUAGCGUUGUUCGGAAUUACUGGGCGUAAAGCGAACGUAGGCGGUGUUCCAUGUCAGAGGUGAAAGCCUGGGGCUCAACUCCAGAAUUGCCUUUGAAACGGGAACGCUUGAGUCCGAGAGAGGAUGGCGGAAUUCCUAGUGUAGAGGUGAAAUUCGUAGAUAUUAGGAAGAACACCGGUGGCGAAGGCGGGUCUCUGGGCAACAACUGACGCUGAGGAGCGAAAGCGUGGGGAGCGAACAGG
RNAcentral lists this ribosomal RNA (253 nucleotides) under uncultured bacterium. RNAcentral describes it as "partial 16S ribosomal RNA". It matches the Rfam family "Bacterial small subunit ribosomal RNA", at positions 524 to 776 of the family's 1533-position model. The record is from RNAcentral.